RNAcentral lists this transfer RNA (81 nucleotides) under Leptospirillum ferrooxidans C2-3. It matches the Rfam family "tRNA". From Rfam's summary of the family: Transfer RNA (tRNA) molecules are approximately 80 nucleotides in length. Their secondary structure includes four short double-helical elements and three loops (D, anti-codon, and T loops). The record is from Rfam by way of RNAcentral. Lineage: Bacteria; Pseudomonadati; Nitrospirota; Nitrospiria; Nitrospirales; Nitrospiraceae.
GCCGAAGUGGUGGAAUGGUAGACACGCACGUUUGAGGGGCGUGUGGCGAAAGCCGUACGGGUUCGACUCCCGUCUUCGGCA